GAUGAACGCUGGCGGCGUGCUUAACACAUGCAAGUCGAACGAUUAAACUGGCUUCGGCCAGAUAUAGAGUGGCGAACGGGUGAGUAACACGUGACCAACCUGCCCCGCGCUCCGGGACAACCGCUGGAAACGGCGGCUAAUACCGGAUGCUCCGGGGAGGCCCCAUGGCCUCCCCGGGAAAGCCUUAACGGCGCGGGAUGGGGUCGCGGCCCAUUAGGUAGACGGCGGGGUAACGGCCCACCGUGCCCGCGAUGCGUAGCCGGACUGAGAGGUCGACCGGCCACAUUGGGACUGAGAUACGGCCCAGACUCCUACGGGAGGCAGCAGUGGGGAAUUUUGCGCAAUGGGGGAAACCCUGACGCAGCAACGCCGCGUGCGGGACGAAGGCCUUCGGGUUGUAAACCGCUUUCAGCAGGGAAGACUUUGACGGUAC
Molecule: ribosomal RNA, 433 nt
Filed under: uncultured bacterium
Lineage: Bacteria
Description: bacterial SSU rRNA
Rfam family: Bacterial small subunit ribosomal RNA
Source: RNAcentral